UACGUAGGUGGCGAGCGUUGUCCGGAUUUACUGGGCGUAAAGGGAGCGUAGGCGGACUUUUAAGUGAGAUGUAAAAUACUCGGGCUCAACUUGAGUGCUGCAUUUCAAACUGGAAGUCUAGAGUGCAGGAGAGGAGAAUGGAAUUCCUAGUGUAGCGGUGAAAUGCGUAGAGAUUAGGAAGAACACCAGUGGCGAAGGCGAUUCUCUGGACUGUGACUGACGCUGAGGCUCGAAAGCGUGGGGAGCAAACAGG
RNAcentral lists this ribosomal RNA (253 nucleotides) under uncultured bacterium. Its description in RNAcentral is "partial 16S ribosomal RNA". It matches the Rfam family "Bacterial small subunit ribosomal RNA", at positions 524 to 776 of the family's 1533-position model. The record is from RNAcentral.